GUGUUCACAUCAGCAGCAAAUGCCUUAAAACUAGAGUAAUACAGAGACAAAUAGCAUGGCCCCUGUGCAAGAAUGACAUGCAAAUCAUGAAUCAUUCUGUAUUUUU
This is a small nuclear RNA of Lontra canadensis (Northern American river otter), 106 nucleotides long. The record is from RefSeq and is a predicted model, not a curated record. NCBI's taxonomy places the organism in Eukaryota, Metazoa, Chordata, Mammalia, Carnivora, Mustelidae.